RNAcentral lists this ribosomal RNA (492 nucleotides) under uncultured bacterium. RNAcentral describes it as "partial 16S ribosomal RNA". It matches the Rfam family "Bacterial small subunit ribosomal RNA", at positions 29 to 507 of the family's 1533-position model. The record is from RNAcentral.
AGUGAACGCUGGCGGUAGGCCUAACACAUGCAAGUCGAACGGCAGCACAGUAAGAGCUUGCUCUUACGGGUGGCGAGUGGCGGACGGGUGAGGAAUACAUCGGCAUCUACUUUUUCGUGGGGGAUAACGUAGGGAAACUUACGCUAAUACCUCAUACGACCUACGGGUGAAAGCAGGGGAUCUUCGGACCUUGCGCGAAUGCAUGAGCCGAUGUCGGAUUAGCUAGUUGGCGGGGUAAAGGCCCACCAAGGCGACGAUCCGUAGCUGGUCUGAGAGGAUGAUCAGCCAAACUGGAACUGGAAAACGGUCCAGCCUCCUACGGGAGGCAGCAGUGGGGAAUAUUGGACAAUGGGCGCAAGCCUGAUCCAGCCAUACCGCGUGGGUGAAGAAGGCCUUCGGGUUGUAAAGCCCUUUUGUUGGGAAAGAAAAGCAGCAGGUUAAUACCCCGCUGUUCUGACGGUACCCAAAGAAUAAGCACCGGCUAACUUCGUG